RNAcentral lists this ribosomal RNA (387 nucleotides) under uncultured euryarchaeote. Its description in RNAcentral is "bacterial SSU rRNA". It matches the Rfam family "Archaeal small subunit ribosomal RNA", at positions 85 to 475 of the family's 1478-position model. Lineage: Archaea; Methanobacteriati; Methanobacteriota. The record is from RNAcentral.
ACUGCUCAGUAACACGUCGAUAAUCUGCCCUCGGAUCCGUGAUAACCUUGGGAAACUGAGGCUAAACACGGGCAGGGGAUGGAGGCUGGAAUGCGCCUUCCCCAGAAACGCAAGGUCCGAGGAUGAGUCGGCGGCUGAUUAGGUAGUUGGAGAGGUAACGGCUCACCAAGCCAAAGAUCAGUACGGGCCAUGAGAGUGGUAGCCCGGAGAAGGGUCCUGAGACACAGACCCUAGCCCUACGGGGUGCAGCAGGCGCGAAAACUUUACAAUGCACGAAAGUGUGAUAAGGGUAUCCCAAGUGCCCAUGUACUGCAUGGGCUUUUGCCAUGAGUAAACAUCUUGGCGAAUAAGUGGUGGGAAAGACUGGUGCCAGCAGCCGCGGUAAUA